Long non-coding RNA from Carica papaya (papaya), 1713 nucleotides. RefSeq lists it as uncharacterized. The record is from RefSeq and is a predicted model, not a curated record. NCBI's taxonomy places the organism in Eukaryota, Viridiplantae, Streptophyta, Magnoliopsida, Brassicales, Caricaceae.
CUCAUGGCAGUAGUGAUAAACAUUUCUACCCAUUUUAAUUAAGAAUUAAAUUGUUGGACAAAAAACCACACCCAGCAACUAGAAACACCCGAUGUAGACGAAAAAUAAAUAGAGAGAAUUAUCACUGUUAAAAAUAGACAACCACUCGUAGGGAGACCCAUUACACAAAAACCACUACGCGUAACCACCGGAAUGCCUCCACGAGCUUCCACACGCUUCCACCGGAAUGACUAUGCGCUGCCGCACGUGCUAUGCCGGAACCACCACUGGCUGCCGCGAACUUAUCAGUAAUCACUACAGGACCGUGCGAGCGCUUAGAUCAGGCACGAAUAUCGUAAAAUCGCGCCGAAACACGCAACGGAUCUAUGAAAUUGCAUGAUCUGGCCACUGCAGGUCUUCUCCUCCUUGUGAUCUGGCUGGCGCGGGUCUUCUUUUUUGGCCGUGCGCUGUUCUCUCCCUCGCCGUACAGACCCGACCUAACACAAAUCUUCUUCCGCCUCAAUCAGCACACGAACGGGGAGGACCUGCCGUGAUGCACGAUUCGUCUUAUUCUGGUUCAAUGCCACACGCAAUCUGGUCGCCAUCCACAGAUCUGUCGCGACUACUCUGGAACAUCGGAUAGAUCUGCCGGAUUGUUUGGCUGGUGGAGAGCCGCCGCGCCGCCGCCUCUGGUUUCUCCUUCAGUUGGUGGUCGGGACACAGAUCAGAUCUGAUCUGAUUCUUCUCUCCCUUCUGAUCUAAUCUAGUCUGGUUCUUUCUCAAAUCCUAUCUUGAUACCAUGUAAUUAAAUAGAAAAGUACAGAAAUUCUUUCUGAUUAUUUUGUUUUUGAGAUAUAUAUACAUACAAAGUGAUCAAUAUAAAAAAACUAACAUAAAUUAUCUAUUAAUUUACUGUUUAUAAUUAUGUUAAUAUAUAUAAAAAGUCGCUUAGCAAUGAUUACACUAUUAUACAAAAAAAUAUUAUGUAAUCUUUUAACAAUAUGUUUCAAUUGACAAAGAAAAUAGGUUGGAAGACAAAGAACUGAAAUCCCCUGCUGCUGCUCGUUUACAAGAGGAAAACAACUAGCAAAAAACGUGGCAAACAUCUGGAAGGAAAGGGGCACGUGGCAUGAAUUGAGCUAAACAUAAAAAGGUACAUGUCAACGGUACCUGACAACUUGGUACAAGAGCCAGACGAUUCUGACGAGCCACUUGCAAGUUUUAUGGUGAUGGCAGAAAGCAAAAAAGAGAUAGUAGUUAACGAACCACAAAAAUGGCAGACCCUAGAGGAUAACGUGAGAGAAGUUGACCGGAAUCUCUCUAACUUCAUGAAUGAGAUGUAUGACGCAGAACAUCAAACCAAAGCAUUACCCUACUAGAGGUUCGAACAGCUUGCGGAGAUAUUGCAAGGGGGAGCGAGGGUGGGAGAAUCAUCACCACAUAUGUCAUUCUCCUUUUGUAUAGACUCAUGUUCGGAGUAUACUCUCCAUCCCAAAGCAACGAGAUGUUGGGGGUAAUUACAUGCAAAAGCCGCGGACAACCAGUCGGGGAACCCUACACCAAAGAUGGACAUUCCCACCUUCAGUGGUCAAAACCUUAGAACAUGAAUAAGGGGAUGCUUGAAAUACUUUAUUGUGUAUAACAUACCUGAAGAAAACAAGGUGGAAACAACGACCCGGUACUUAGGAGAUAAGGCUGAAAUAUGAUUCUAUGGUUUGACGAAUUCCCUAAAAA